RNAcentral lists this transfer RNA (56 nucleotides) under Caulobothrium sp. LRP 10376. RNAcentral describes it as "tRNA-His". Lineage: Eukaryota; Metazoa; Platyhelminthes; Cestoda; Tetraphyllidea. The record is from RNAcentral.
UUACUGGUAGGUUAUUUAAACUGACAAAUUGUGGUUUUGUUGAUUACGCUUAUAUU